UCAAAAUAAAAAAGAAGAAUAAGUUUUGCGCAGUUUGUGCGAUGGAUGGGAAAAUUGGUGCAACGUUUUUCAUUUUAGUUGUGAUAUUGUAAACGAGAAUUUUGUUCCGGAUGACCAGAUUACGGAUGUGAGGAUUGCUGGCCCAGAACAACAGUUAGAAGGAAAUAAGCAUUCACCCUAUCAGGUAGCAGGAAAAAGACGGCAUCAUGGAUUCAUUCCUGCGGAGGACGAAUACAGCUGGAAGGCGAGGCAAUUGGUUUAGGCAAAAAUUCUUCAACUUAACGGCAAUGCUUUCAUCACCGUACGAUAAUACUAUUUAUAGCGGGACAAUCCAACAGAUGUGCAGACAAGAAACUCGAUGGUUUGGCCGAGAAGGACCGUCCGGACAUUUACAAAGAGCCUCAUACAGGGAUCGGCGGAAGCAGCAAUGUUUUGCUUAAUGCUCAUAUUCGGGCGCAAAAUAAAAGUGGAG
Long non-coding RNA from Uranotaenia lowii, 472 nucleotides. RefSeq lists it as uncharacterized. The transcript has 4 exons. The record is from RefSeq and is a predicted model, not a curated record. Lineage: Eukaryota; Metazoa; Arthropoda; Insecta; Diptera; Culicidae.